UUAAACUUACUGUUGAUAGUUUCCAUCUUUUCCCAUGCAUGCUUGUUAUAGUUUCCAUCUCUUCCCAUGGGAGCCUAUUAUCUUCUCAACCAUGUUAAAGAGGUUCUGAUAAAAGUGCUGUUGUUUUGUCGGGGAGAUAUUCUGGGGAGCUAUUCAGGUGUCUCAAACAAGUGCCAUGAACCUGAGUGAUUUGUUGCUCAAAGGUGGAAAAAUUGAAAAUCAUCAGUGCAGAAUGAAAAGGUAUACAUCUAACUGCAUCCCCUUUCAUGAGCAGCUGGUUUUAACAUAAAGGUUAAAGGCGGCAUACACAACUGUCACAACAACAGGAAACUGCAUCAACAUGAAUGUAAACAAGCCUUAAAUAGGCGGCAAGUGCCGGCCUUACACAAAAGCUGAAAAACAGCAAUACUGAGA
Molecule: non-coding RNA, 414 nt
Organism: Paramuricea clavata
Lineage: Eukaryota; Metazoa; Cnidaria; Anthozoa; Malacalcyonacea; Plexauridae
Source: the annotation of a GenBank genome assembly